Non-coding RNA from Acanthosepion pharaonis, 108 nucleotides. Lineage: Eukaryota; Metazoa; Mollusca; Cephalopoda; Sepiida; Sepiidae. The record is from the annotation of a GenBank genome assembly.
GGUCACGUCACGUUGAAACACCGGUUCCCGUGCGAUCUUCGGUUAAGCAACGUCGAGCCUGGUCCGUUCCUAGAUGGGUAACCAUUUGGGAAUACCAGGUGAUGUAAG